GACGAACGCUGGCGGCGUGCCUAAUACAUGCAAGUUGAGCGCUGAAGGUUGGUACUUGUACCGACUGGAUGAGCGGCGGACGGGUGAGUAACGCGUGGGGAAUCUGCCUUUGAGCGGGGGACAACAUUUGGAAACGAAUGCUAAUACCGCAUAAGAACUUUAAACACAAGGUUUAAGGUUGAAAGAUGCAAUUGCAUCACUCAAAGAUGAUUCCGCGUUGUAUUAGCUAGUUGGUGAGGUAAAGGCUCACCAAGGGGAUGAUACAUAGCCUAGCUGAGAGGGUGAUCGGCCAAAAUGGGAAUGGGAAACGGGUCAAAACUCUAAGGGAGGGAGCCGGAGGGAAUCUUCGGAAAUGGAGGAAAGGCUGACCGAGGAAAGGCGGGUGAGUGAAGAAGGUUGUUGGGUCGUAAAAGUACGUUGGUAGAGGAGAAAGUUGGGGAGAGUGGAAAGCUCAUCAAGUGACGGUAACUACAGAGAAAGGGACGGCUAACUACGUG
Molecule: ribosomal RNA, 497 nt
Filed under: uncultured bacterium
Lineage: Bacteria
Description: partial 16S ribosomal RNA
Rfam family: Bacterial small subunit ribosomal RNA
Source: RNAcentral